This 1328-nucleotide long non-coding RNA is filed under the name Marmota monax (woodchuck). The record is from RNAcentral. Lineage: Eukaryota; Metazoa; Chordata; Mammalia; Rodentia; Sciuridae.
CAGUACUGAAAUAAAUAAAUAGAUAAAAAGUAGAAUUAUUUUAUGAAAAAGGAUAUUUUACUAAACUUCAAUAUAUAAGAAAGAAAAGUGGAUGUAUGAAGGAAAGAUCCUCUAACCUUUACCCAUUUGACUUCUGUCCCAUCUUUCCACAUGCUGAAGUACCUGAAUAAAACUUUUCCAGAAGACACAGAUAAACAACAAUAACACAUUGUUUCAGGCUGCAGUUUAUGUCUCCUGGUCAGUUCUACCAGGUAGAAUGCAUUCAUUCAGCACACAUAUAUUGAGUGCCUACUGUCUGCCAAGAGCAUAGGGAAGCUUAUAUUCUAGAAGAAUGGACCAUAGUAAAUAAUAUACAGAAUGAAUAAAUAAAUUACAUAAUACCUUAGAAAGAAAUAACAACUAGAAGAAAGUGGAGACAGCUGGGCAUGGUGGCACAUGCCUAUAAUACCAGUAAAUUGGGAGGCUGAGGCAGGAGAAUCAUAAGUUCAAAGCCAUCCUCAGCAACUUAACAAGGCCUUAAGCAACUUAACAAGAACCUUUCUCAACAUAAAGAAUGAAAAAACACCAGGGCCUGGGAUGUGACUAAGCAGUUAAGUGCCCCUGGAUUCAAUCCUCAGUACCAGAAAAAAGGAGGAGGAGGAGGAGAAAAUAGAGACAGAGUAAGAGAAAUAAGGAGUGGGGCAUGUAGAAUUGUAAAUAGGUGAUCAGAGAAGGCCCCAGUGAGGAGGGAUACAAGUAAAAACUUGCAGGUGACCUCAUGCUGCCAUUAAUGGUGCCUGCACUCAUGGGAAAAGGUUGCUGCUGAGAUGCCCUAUGUGAGGCUGUCUCAGGGGCCAUUUGAAGACAAUCCAUGAUGGUAGUUGAUCUUGCAUACUCCCUUACCAGGCCCACACCUCUCAGAUCUUUGUGCUUUCACAAGAAGGAGUGAAGUCAUCCCCCUGGUUUGUAGAUCUUACAGGGAUCAAUCAAGAUCUUGGAAUCAGCAUCAGUUGUUCAUUCAUUCCUUCAUCCAUCAGUCCUGGGUUUAUUGUCCACCAUGUUGGGACAGGUUUCUGGGUUGCAGCAGUCAAUUAACUGAAGUCCUUCUUUCUCAAGAAGUUUGCAACCAAGUUCAAGGUGCAUGUAAGUAAAAUAACAGUCCCCCAAACAAUGAGCUACCUGAAAGAUAAAGUUAUGCACCCAGAUAAUAAGAAUCCAGAGGACAUCAACCCAAGCCUGGGGUCACCGAGUGCUACCUGACAUAAAGGAUGAGCAUGCUGUCAAUGAUGGCAGUCUGCCCUCCAUCCUAAAAAAGUCACUGCUUUUUGUCCUUCAUAAGUCUGAAACCC